GACGAACGCUGGCGGCGUGCCUAAUACAUGCAAGUUGAGCGCUGAAGGUUGGUUCUUGUACCAACUGGAUGAGCAGCGAACGGGUGAGUAACGCGUGGGGAAUCUGCCUUUGAGCGGGGGACAACAUUUGGAAACGAAUGCUAAUACCGCAUAAAAACUUUAAACACAAGGUUUAAGUUUGAAAGAUGCAAUUGCAUCACUCAAAGAUGAUCCCGCGUUGUAUUAGCUAGUUGGUGAGGUAAAGGCUCACCAAGGCGAUGAUACAUAGCCGACCUGAGAGGGUGAUUGGCCACAUUGGGACUGAGACACGGCCCAAACUCCUACGGGAGGCAGCAGUAGGGAAUCUUCGGCAAUGGACGAAAGUCUGACCGAGCAACGCCGCGUGAGUGAAGAAGGGUUUCGGAUCGUAAAACUCUGUUGGUAGAGAAGAACGUUGGUGAGAGUGGAAAGCUCAUCAAGUGACGGUAACUACCCAGAAAGGGACGGCUAACUACGUG
This 497-nucleotide ribosomal RNA is filed under the name uncultured bacterium. RNAcentral describes it as "partial 16S ribosomal RNA". It matches the Rfam family "Bacterial small subunit ribosomal RNA", at positions 28 to 507 of the family's 1533-position model. The record is from RNAcentral.